CCUACGGGAGGCUGCAGUGAGGAAUAUUGGUCAAUGGGCGCGAGCCUGAACCAGCCAAGUCGCGUGAGGGAAGACGGCCCUCCGGGUUGUAAGCCUCUUUUGCCGGGGAGCAAAGCGAGUCACGUGUGACUCAUUGAGAGUACCCGAAGAAAAAGCAUCGGCUAACUCCGUGCCAGCAGCCGCGGUAAUACGGGGGAUGCGAGCGUUAUCCGGAUUUAGUGGGUUUAAGGGGUGCGCAGGCGGAGGUGCAAGUCAGCGGUAAAACUGCGGGGCGCAACCCCGUACUGCCGUUGAAACUGCAUGCCUAGAGUGCUCGAGAGGGAUGCGGAAUGCGUGGUGUAGCGGUGAAAUGCAUAGAGAUCACGAAGAAUUCCGAUUGCGAAGGCAGCAUACCGGCGAGCAACUGACGCUCAGGUACGAAAGCGUGGGUAUCGAACAGGAUUAGAUACCCCAGUAGUC
Molecule: ribosomal RNA, 459 nt
Filed under: uncultured bacterium
Lineage: Bacteria
Description: partial 16S ribosomal RNA
Rfam family: Bacterial small subunit ribosomal RNA
Source: RNAcentral